This 78-nucleotide non-coding RNA is filed under the name Streptomyces sp. Lineage: Bacteria; Bacillati; Actinomycetota; Actinomycetes; Kitasatosporales; Streptomycetaceae. The record is from RNAcentral.
GGGGAAGCCGGUGCGAUUCCGGCGCUGACCCGCAACCGUGACCCGCCCGGCACCGCCGUGCGCGAAGCCGGAUUGCCC